RNAcentral lists this ribosomal RNA (292 nucleotides) under uncultured bacterium. RNAcentral describes it as "partial 16S ribosomal RNA". It matches the Rfam family "Bacterial small subunit ribosomal RNA", at positions 505 to 796 of the family's 1533-position model. The record is from RNAcentral.
GUGUCAGCAGCCGCGGUAAUACGAAGGUCCCAAGCGUUGUUCGGAAUCACUGGGCGUAAAGGGAGCGUAGGCGGCGUGGUAAGUCAGAUGUGAAAUCCCGGGGCUCAACCCCGGAACUGCAUCCGAUACUGCCAUGCUAGAGGAUUGGAGAGGUAGCUGGAAUUCUUGGUGUAGCAGUGAAAUGCGUAGAGAUCAAGAGGAACACUCGUGGCGAAAGCGAGCUACUGGACAAUUCCUGACGCUGAGGCUCGAAGGCUAGGGUAGCGAAAGGGAUUAGAAACCCCCGUAGUCC